GGGAAUGUGGCUUAGUGGUAGAGUGCUUGCCUAGCAUGCAGGAGGCCUCUGGGUUUGAUUCCGCAAUACCA
This 71-nucleotide transfer RNA is filed under the name Dipodomys ordii (Ord's kangaroo rat). It matches the Rfam family "tRNA". Rfam says of the family: Transfer RNA (tRNA) molecules are approximately 80 nucleotides in length. Their secondary structure includes four short double-helical elements and three loops (D, anti-codon, and T loops). Further hydrogen bonds mediate the characteristic L-shaped molecular structure. tRNAs have two regions of fundamental functional importance: the anti-codon, which is responsible for specific mRNA codon recognition, and the 3' end, to which the tRNAs corresponding amino acid is attached (by aminoacyl-tRNA synthetases). tRNAs cope with the degeneracy of the genetic code in two manners: having more than one tRNA (with a specific anti-codon) for a particular amino acid; and 'wobble' base-pairing, i.e. permitting non-standard base-pairing at the 3rd anti-codon position. The record is from Rfam by way of RNAcentral. Lineage: Eukaryota; Metazoa; Chordata; Mammalia; Rodentia; Heteromyidae.